This 561-nucleotide ribosomal RNA is filed under the name uncultured bacterium. Its description in RNAcentral is "bacterial SSU rRNA". It matches the Rfam family "Bacterial small subunit ribosomal RNA", at positions 338 to 916 of the family's 1533-position model. The record is from RNAcentral.
CCUACGGGAGGCAGCAGUGGGGAAUAUUGGACAAUGGGCGAAAGCCUGAUCCAGCAAUGCCGCGUGAGUGAUGAAGGCCUUAGGGUUGUAAAGCUCUUUUACCAGGGAUGAUAAUGACAGUACCUGGAGAAUAAGCUCCGGCUAACUCCGUGCCAGCAGCCGCGGUAAUACGGAGGGAGCUAGCGUUGUUCGGAAUUACUGGGCGUAAAGCGUACGUAGGCGGUUAUUCAAGUCAGAGGUGAAAGCCCGGGGCUCAACCCCGGAACUGCCUUUGAAACUAGAUAGCUAGAAUCUUGGAGAGGUUAGUGGAAUUCCGAGUGUAGAGGUGAAAUUCGUAGAUAUUCGGAAGAACACCAGUGGCGAAGGCGACUAACUGGACAAGUAUUGACGCUGAGGUACGAAAGCGUGGGGAGCAAACAGGAUUAGAUACCCUGGUAGUCCACGCCGUAAACGAUGAUAACUAGUUGUUCGGGCACUUGGUGCCUGAGUGACGCAGCUAACGCAUUAAGUUAUCCGCCUGGGGAGUACGGUCGCAAGNUUAAAACUCAAAGGAAUUGACGG